Molecule: long non-coding RNA, 779 nt
Organism: Bos taurus (domestic cattle)
Lineage: Eukaryota; Metazoa; Chordata; Mammalia; Artiodactyla; Bovidae
Source: Ensembl
CUGCAGCUCUUCAGCAGGCCCUCCCGAGGUCCAGGUCGGAGGCCCUGAGAGGCAGACGUGGCCGCAGUUUGUCCAGCUCCCUCCCACUCUGGGUUCUGCUCUUCUUCCCAAGUGCAGGUACAGCCAACCUACAGCAUCCACGGGCUCCCCCGCCACCACCCCGGGGGCAAAGCCAGCAGCUCUUCACAGAUGCUUCAACAGCUCCCUCGGCUGCAGAAAUUCUAAUCGCUGCAUCACUCAUAGUGGUUCUGCCCUUCUGAUGAGACUCUCAUACAGCAUCCAAGUGAGAUACCGAGUAGGUGCUGGCUGUGAGUCUCAAGUUCAAGGGAAAUGGUCCCAGAUGGGUGUUAAAUUGGGGAAUUGUUGCCACGUGACUGGUAUUUAAAGCCAUAAGCCUGGGUUAGGUCACCCAAAGAGAGCUUUCAAGCAGGAGAGGAGGUCCACCGCCCUGGGAGCUCCAUGGUACAGAGAUGGGGGCAGGAGGGAACAGCCAAGGAGACCGAGAGCCACCAGUGAGACAGAAGGAAACCCUGAGCACUCGUGGCUCAAGGCGAAGGAGGAACGUCAGGAGGAGCCUGAGCUUGACCAUGUCUGCUGAGAUGAGUUUGGAGAGCGGACUGCCGUGCCUGAAGGCUAUGCAUUUUGUGUAGUCAUCGGCUGUCUUUAAAGGCAGCGCUGACAUUUCCCGUGGCUGGUGACUGCUCUGCACAGCAGCUGGUUAUCUGAUCUGUCUGGUUAACAAGUUCCUCUUUGACAUUUAAUAAACUGCAGUGAUUUCA